UUCAGGGGAUUCAAAACUUCCAACUCCCUCUCCUGCCACAGAAUCUCUUGGAAGAGGGCUUCUAGAAGAGCCAGCUGGGCCAUUUCCCAGAAAGCAGAAACCUCACUGGGACCAUGGAACACACCUACGAGGUGCUUGGCUUGAAGACUGAGAAGGAAGAUACUCUCUGGAGAGGAGAGCGCCGUGCCCCCAGGGAGGAAGCAGAAGGUCACACUCUCUGCUGGAGGGACGGUACGGGCUUCUGACGGGGAGGACGAGAACCCCGAGUCUUCCAGCCCACACAGGAAACGGUGUGGGCCCCGACAUCUGUCUGGUUUUGUCACCAGACAGUCUUAAGUCUCUACGCCAAAAAAGUCCCGGAGAUAAAAGUAACUUCACCUUUUUUUGACCAUCACGUGAAGAACACUCGUCCGGUCGUAGAUCUGAACCCCUGUUCCAAGGCAAAGAAAGAGUGGGGGCAUCGAAAUCGAACCUCUCAUGUUCCAGAAUCAAGGCAUCUGCAGCCGAUUCUCAACUCUCAGGGAACACUGCAAAGGCCGGGUCAGUGCUUUAAUUUCAGAAAACAAACAACUCCAGGAGCCACAUCCUGAGACUGUAAAUGAGACUUUCCCAAGGUUAAAAACAGCAGGCAAAUUCAGUAACCGACCUGAGUGCACAAUUACA
Phyllostomus hastatus (greater spear-nosed bat) is the source of this 663-nucleotide long non-coding RNA. RefSeq lists it as uncharacterized. The record is from RefSeq and is a predicted model, not a curated record. NCBI's taxonomy places the organism in Eukaryota, Metazoa, Chordata, Mammalia, Chiroptera, Phyllostomidae. The transcript has 3 exons.